GAUGAACGCUGGCGGCGUGCCUAAUACAUGCGAGUCGAGCGAACAGACGAGGAGCUUGCUCCUCUGACGUUAGCGGCGGACGGGUGAGUAACACGUGGAUAACCUACCUAUAAGACUGGGAUAACUUCGGGAAACCGGAGCUAAUACCGGAUAAUAUAUUGCACCGCAUGGUUGAAUAGUGAAAGACGGUUUUGCUGUCACUUAUAGAUGGAUCCGAGCCGCAUUAGCUAGUAGGUAAGGUAAAGGCUUACCAAGGCGACGAUGCGUAGCCGACCUGAGAGAGUGGUCGGCCACACUGGAACUGAGACACGGACCAUACUCCUACGGGAGGCAGCAGUAGGGAAUCUUCCGCAAUGGGCGAAAGCCUGACGGAGCAACGCCGCGUGAGUGAUGAAGGUCUUCGGAUCGUAAAACUCUGUUAUUAGGGAAGAACAAAUGUGUAAGUAACUAUGCACGUCUUGACGGUACCUAAUCAGAAAGCCACGGCUAACUACGUG
This 497-nucleotide ribosomal RNA is filed under the name uncultured bacterium. RNAcentral describes it as "partial 16S ribosomal RNA". It matches the Rfam family "Bacterial small subunit ribosomal RNA", at positions 28 to 507 of the family's 1533-position model. The record is from RNAcentral.